GCACCCGUAGCUCAGCUGGAUAGAGCGUCUGACUACGGAUCAGAAGGCCAGGGGUUCGAAUCCUCUCGGGUGCACCA
This 77-nucleotide transfer RNA is filed under the name Trueperaceae bacterium. Its description in RNAcentral is "tRNA-Arg". It matches the Rfam family "tRNA". From Rfam's summary of the family: Transfer RNA (tRNA) molecules are approximately 80 nucleotides in length. Their secondary structure includes four short double-helical elements and three loops (D, anti-codon, and T loops). Lineage: Bacteria; Thermotogati; Deinococcota; Deinococci; Trueperales; Trueperaceae. The record is from RNAcentral.